This is a long non-coding RNA of Schistocerca gregaria, 346 nucleotides long. RefSeq lists it as uncharacterized. The record is from RefSeq and is a predicted model, not a curated record. Lineage: Eukaryota; Metazoa; Arthropoda; Insecta; Orthoptera; Acrididae. The transcript is spliced from 5 exons.
GGAGCGCGCAGUUCUAGUUAGACGUCAGUCUUGGUGUAGCAGUCGUCAGUGUUAUUUGGCUGAGUGGUAGCGGAAGCAUAAUGGAGUGCCCAUGCUGUCAACAGUUUCCUGACGAGAUAGAGAUGUUGUACCGAUUUUACACCACAGUGCAAUACAACCAAACUGCACUACCAUAAGGACAUCUCAUUUCUGUUUGCCUGUCGGCUCAGACUGGGACACUCGUGGUACGUAUGGAAAAUGAAGCUUAUGGACGUCUGUAUUGAAUCCAGAAGCACCAGAAUUUGUAAGUUCAACAGUGACGGUGCAGCAGUCGCCGUUACAUCAAGAUGCACCUGAACUUCAGAGG